This 468-nucleotide ribosomal RNA is filed under the name uncultured bacterium. Its description in RNAcentral is "partial 16S ribosomal RNA". It matches the Rfam family "Bacterial small subunit ribosomal RNA", at positions 28 to 507 of the family's 1533-position model. The record is from RNAcentral.
GACGAACGCUGGCGGCGUGCUUAACACAUGCAAGUCGAACGGAAAGGCCCUGCUUUUGUGGGGUGCUCGAGUGGCGAACGGGUGAGUAACACGUGAGUAACCUGCCCUUGACUUUGGGAUAACUUCAGGAAACUGGGGCUAAUACCGGAUAGGAGCUCCUGCUGCAUGGUGGGGGUUGGAAAGUUUCGGCGGUUGGGGAUGGACUCGCGGCUUAUCAGCUUGUUGGUGGGGUAGUGGCUUACCAAGGCUUUGACGGGUAGCCGGCCUGAGAGGGUGACCGGCCACAAUGGGACUGAGAUACGGCCCAGACGCCUACAGGAGGCAGCAGGGGGGAAUAUUGCACAAUGGGCGGAAGCCUGAUGCAGCAACGCCGCGUGCGGGAUGACGGCCUUCGGGUUGUAAACCGCUUUCGCCUGUGACGAAGCGUGAGUGACGGUAAUGGGUAAAGAAGCACCGGCUAACUACGUG